UACGUAGGUGACAAGCGUUGUCCGGAUUUACUGGGCGUAAAGAGCGCGCAGGCGGUCGUUCAAGUCGAGUGUGAAAGCCCCCGGCUCAACUGGGGAGGGUCACUCGAUACUGAUCGACUCGAAGGCAGGAGAGGGUAGUGGAAUUCCCGGUGUAGUGGUGAAAUGCGUAGAUAUCGGGAGGAACACCAGUGGCAAAGGCGACUACCUGGCCUGUUCUUGACGCUGAGGCGCGAAAGCUAGGGGAGCAAACGGG
RNAcentral lists this ribosomal RNA (253 nucleotides) under uncultured bacterium. RNAcentral describes it as "partial 16S ribosomal RNA". It matches the Rfam family "Bacterial small subunit ribosomal RNA", at positions 524 to 776 of the family's 1533-position model. The record is from RNAcentral.